CAGCCGCCGCGGUAAUACCGGCGGCCCGAGUGGCGGCCACUAUUAUUGGGCUUAAAGCGUCCGUAGCCGGGUUGGUUAGUCUCCCGGGAAAUCUGGCCGCUUAACGGUCAGAAUUCCGGGAGAUACUGCCAGCCUAGGGACCGGGAGAGGCCGAGGGUAUUCCCGGAGUAGGGGUGAAAUCCUAUAAUCCCGGGAGGACCACCUGUGGCGAAGGCGCUCGGCUGGAACGGGUCCGACGGUGAGGGACGAAGGCCAGGGGAGCAAGCCGGAUUAGAUACCCGGGUAGUCCUGGCUGUAAACGAUGCGGACUUUGUGUCGGACAAGCUAUGAGCUUGUCCGGUGCCGGAGGGAAACCGUUAAGUCCGCCGCCUGGGGAGUACGGCCGCAAGGCUGAAACUUAAAGGAAUUGGCGGG
This 414-nucleotide ribosomal RNA is filed under the name uncultured microorganism. RNAcentral describes it as "bacterial SSU rRNA". It matches the Rfam family "Archaeal small subunit ribosomal RNA", at positions 459 to 872 of the family's 1478-position model. The record is from RNAcentral.